AUACGUAGGUGGCAAGCGUUAUCCGGAAUUAUUGGACGUAAAGAGGGAGCAGGCGGCAGCAAGGGUCUGUGGUGAAAGCCUGAAGCUUAACUUCAGUAAGCCAUAGAAACCAGGCAGCUAGAGUGCAGGAGAGGAUCGUGGAAUUCCAUGUGUAGCGGUGAAAUGCGUAGAUAUAUGGAGGAACACCAGUGGCGAAGGCGACGAUCUGGCCUGCAACUGACGCUCAGUCCCGAAAGCGUGGGGAGCAAAUAGGAUUAGAUACCCUAGUAGUCCACGCCGUAAACGAUGAGUACUAAGUGUUGGAUGUCAAAGUUCAGUGCUGCAGUUAACGCAAUAAGUACUCCGCCUGAGUAGUACGUUCGCAAGAAUGAAACUUAAAGGAAUUGACGGGG
RNAcentral lists this ribosomal RNA (392 nucleotides) under uncultured bacterium. RNAcentral's name for it is "partial 16S ribosomal RNA". It matches the Rfam family "Bacterial small subunit ribosomal RNA", at positions 523 to 918 of the family's 1533-position model. The record is from RNAcentral.